UGCAAGUCGAGCGGACCGACGGGAGCUUGCUCCCUUAGGUCAGCGGCGGACGGGUGAGUAACACGUGGGUAACCUGCCUGUAAGACUGGGAUAACUCCGGGAAACCGGGGCUAAUACCGGAUGCUUGAUUGAACCGCAUGGUUCAAUCAUAAAAGGUGGCUUUUAGCUACCACUUACAGAUGGACCCGCGGCGCAUUAGCUAGUUGGUGAGGUAACGGCUCACCAAGGCGACGAUGCGUAGCCGACCUGAGAGGGUGAUCGGCCACACUGGGACUGAGACACGGCCCAGACUCCUACGGGAGGCAGCAGUAGGGAAUCUUCCGCAAUGGACGAAAGUCUGACGGAGCAACGCCGCGUGAGUGAUGAAGGUUUUCGGAUCGUAAAACUCUGUUGUUAGGGAAGAACAAGUACCGUUCGAAUAGGGCGGUACCUUGACGGUACCUAACCAGAAAGCCACGGCUAA
Molecule: ribosomal RNA, 463 nt
Filed under: Bacillus sp. UA-AR0310
Lineage: Bacteria; Bacillati; Bacillota; Bacilli; Caryophanales; Bacillaceae
Description: bacterial SSU rRNA
Rfam family: Bacterial small subunit ribosomal RNA
Source: RNAcentral